UUUUUUUUUUAUAAAUAUUGUGAAAUACUCCACUAAUAAAUUAAUUAUGAUUUCAUACAAAAAAAACAUGAGAUUAUCAUUGAGUUUAAUUUUUAUCAAAUUUAAAUUUUUUAUAAGAUGAUUUACAUUUCAAACUUUGAAAUGAUAUUAGUAAUUUUUUUUCUUUUUGAGUAAAAUAAAUGUAAAACAUUAAAUAAUUG
Molecule: long non-coding RNA, 200 nt
Filed under: Lathyrus oleraceus (garden pea)
Lineage: Eukaryota; Viridiplantae; Streptophyta; Magnoliopsida; Fabales; Fabaceae
Description: Pisum sativum (pea) long non-coding RNA (PSAT_LNC038531)
Source: RNAcentral